UGUGUGUGUGUGUGUGUGUGUGUGUGUGUGUGUGUGUGUGUGUGUGUGUGUGUGUGUGUGUGUGUGUGUGUGUGUGUGUGUGUGUGUGUGUGUGAUUGGAUUGUUUUGUGUGCGUCUGUGGGUGCGCAAAUGAGAUUAAGUCAUUUAAUUGUAGGAUCCAACAGCCAGGCUCCUGAUUGGCCUUAGUUGAUAACACUGUGAAGUACUUCUAUUUUGGAGGGGGUUGUUUGUUUUUCUAUCUCACUUUUCAAUAACUUAGUCUGUAGCUUGUAUGAUUAAGCCUCAGUCAUCCAGAAUCUUUUGUAGGCUAAGCAAUAGGAAAUGCAACAUUAUGAACCAGCAUUAUGGAACCACUUCCCUGUCCUCAUCCAGUUUGGCCAGGAGUAAUGAAGACUCUCAGUCAAACACUAGCUAGUAAACACAUCUAGAAGGCUAGACAAACAGGGCUAUUUUAUAUGGGACCAAUUAUGACAUUCCUAUUGAUUGGUGAAGUUGUCUUCAAUUUGCAAUUUGAAAAAAAGUUUAAGCAAUAUAUAAAUUAUACUCUCAUUGAGUAAAAACCACUGUUUUCAUUUUAAAACAUGAAUUCCUAAAAUCAGUCCAGAACAGGCAUACUUUUACAGAUAAUUCUUGUUUAAAACAUGAAUUUGAAGAAAUUGGAAAGGCAUGCGUUUUCUUGUCUCUGUUCUGGGUUCCCCCUGGUUCUUCCCCCAUAAAUGUCCCUUAUCUGUGUUGGUUGUAGCUCUAGUAAAUCAGUGAAUGUAUAGUUCUCCUGUGUUGUGCAUGAUUUGAAUGAGCGGCCAUUUAUUUACUUUAUCACAGGACGUUAUUUCAGGAAGAGAGCCUGCUCAUCAUUUUCCUUCACCUGUGGCUUCUCAAUUCCAGUGUUGAUGUAGAAUAGACACAUGCUACUAAUAUACAAGAGAAGUGUCAACUCAAUGCAUGCGUCAGAUUUAUAAACGUGUCAAGAAGAAUCAUCAGGAAACAUGUUUACAUCAAUGGGAACAAAAUGCUGGUACAAAACUCUGCCUUGAUAUCCUUUAAAAGGUGUGAACAUGUGAAGGAAAAUAAGAUAUGCUUGUCUUUUUAAAACUAAGGUGCAGUAAAUACAAGCAUAUUUUUGUGUGCAAAUCAGUGAUUUCUGUGGGAUGGGAAAACAAUGCUUCUUCUGCUUUUAUGGCUUUUAUAUUAUUUCUUGCUCAUUGAAGCCAUGCUGACCUGCAUUUGGGUGUUUGCUGAAAUAUCAAAAACAAUCAGAAAGUGUCCAUGUGAUUGUUUCCUCCAUAAUUAUAGGGUGUACCCAGUUUUUUCUUUCUUUUCAGGAUUCCCUCUGUUGAAAACCUUCUAAACUGUAGUUUUUGGCAAGCCUGAGGUAUUUACAAUGUUGCUGAUGGAAUUUUCAGAUUUUCAGUCUCGUAAAGGUUUUCUUACAUUUUGAGAUUUCGUUGGUCCUCAUGUUGACGGACACUAAUAGCAGACCUAAUGAAAAGUUUAGGAUCAUGUCUAGACAUGGACAACUCUCUUAUGCUUGCACAUAUUAUGGCAGAACUAAACAGAAAAUGUGCUUACUGCCCUGUUUAAAUGAGUGAGGCCACUAUGUGUUCGUAUAAUUUUAUUUAUAUAUAUAACAUUGCCCAAUUAUAUUGUGUUGUAUAGAAAAUCAGAGCUCAUUGAGAUGGCUAAGAAAAUGAAUGGUCUGACGUUUUAAAGGUAAAUUAAAAGGGUUCAGCACCACUUUAGUUUUAAGUUUGAAUUACUCAGUGAAAAUGGGCAAUUCUUCCUUAUAGUAUUACCUUAAGUAAAUAUGUGCAGUAUAUUUUUCCUCAGUCAUUGGAUUUGAAAUGUUUUGAUGUGCAGUCGUAUUAAAGAUGAAGUCAGGAUUAAAUGUUUCUGUUUUAUUUGAACAACUCCCAGCUUUUUCACUCUUGAUGGUUACUGG
Long non-coding RNA from Esox lucius (northern pike), 1939 nucleotides. The record is from Ensembl. Lineage: Eukaryota; Metazoa; Chordata; Actinopteri; Esociformes; Esocidae.